GGUUCGAUGGUGUAGUUGGUUAUCACGUUCGCCUCACAAUUCUGUAAUGCGCGAAAGGUCGCGAGUUCGAACCUCGCUUGAAUCA
This is a non-coding RNA of Plenodomus tracheiphilus IPT5, 85 nucleotides long. The record is from the annotation of a GenBank genome assembly. Lineage: Eukaryota; Fungi; Ascomycota; Dothideomycetes; Pleosporales; Leptosphaeriaceae.